GGUGCACUUAGCUGUGCUUAAUUGGGAACUGGAGUGAGAAUCUCCGACUGUCCCGCAGCAGUGAACUCCGUUAUGGCUCCUAAGCAUAAACGCCAUUGGGUAUUUGCCCGAGAAGGCGCUUAGGAGUGGAGGAAAGUCUGAAGACCAGCCUUUUUCG
RNAcentral lists this non-coding RNA (157 nucleotides) under uncultured Prevotella sp. Lineage: Bacteria; Pseudomonadati; Bacteroidota; Bacteroidia; Bacteroidales; Prevotellaceae. The record is from RNAcentral.